RNAcentral lists this ribosomal RNA (406 nucleotides) under uncultured bacterium. Its description in RNAcentral is "partial 16S ribosomal RNA". It matches the Rfam family "Bacterial small subunit ribosomal RNA", at positions 28 to 526 of the family's 1533-position model. The record is from RNAcentral.
GAUGAACGCUAGCUACAGGCUUAACACAUGCAAGUCGAGGGACCGGCGCUCGGGUGCGUAACACGUAUCCAACCUGACCCUUACUCGGGGAUAGCCUUUAGAAAGAAAGACUAAUACCCGAAGUAUAGGAUGGAGAUGCGUUCGAUUAGGUUGUUGGUGAGGGAACGGCUCACAAAGCCUUCGAUGGAUAGGGGUGCUGAGAGGAAGGUCCCCCGCAUUGGAACUGAGACACAGUCCAAACUCCUACGGGAGGCAACAGUGAGGAAUAUUAGUCACUAGACGUUAGCCUGAAACAGCCAAGUAGCGUAAAGAAUGAAGGGUUAUGAGACGUAAACUGCUUUUAAAUAAGAAUAUGUAUUAAAUGAGUAAGGAUCGGCUAACUCCGUGCCAGCCGCCGCGGUAAUUC